This 463-nucleotide ribosomal RNA is filed under the name uncultured bacterium. RNAcentral describes it as "partial 16S ribosomal RNA". It matches the Rfam family "Bacterial small subunit ribosomal RNA", at positions 29 to 507 of the family's 1533-position model. The record is from RNAcentral.
ACGAAUGCUGGCGGCGUGCUUAACACAUGCAAGUCGAACGGAAAGGCCCUGCUUGCAGGGUACUCGAGUGGCGAACGGGUGAGUAACACGUGGGUGAUCUGCCCUGCACUUCGGGAUAAGCCUGGGAAACUGGGUCUAAUACCGGAUAGGAGCCAUUUUUAGUGUGAUGGUUGGAAAGUUUUUUCGGUGUAGGAUGAGCUCGCGGCCUAUCAGCUUGUUGGUGGGGUAAUGGCCUACCAAGGCGGCGACGGGUAGCCGGCCUGAGAGGGUGGACGGCCACAUUGGGACUGAGAUACGGCCCAGACUCCUACGGGAGGCAGCAGUGGGGAAUAUUGCACAAUGGGCGCAAGCCUGAUGCAGCGACGCCGCGUGGGGGAUGACGGCCUUCGGGUUGUAAACCCCUUUCGCUAGGGACGAAGCUUUUGUGACGGUACCUGGAUAAGAAGCACCGGCUAACUACGUG